AUGGCAGUUCAUAAAUCUAGAUUCUUAUCAACCAUCAUGUUCCUUCUUUUCAUACUAGCUAUAGUGCUCCAUCUUUCAAGUUGUUGCAGGCACAUUUCAUGGGAGUUCAAGGAAGAGAUCAAGAAGCCAAGAACAAGAACCAGGUUCCCCUUUUCUUCAUUCCGACAUACUUUCAAUUCUGCUCAAAUCAAAGAAAACAAGGUCAGUGGAUUUCAUACUGUUUCCCAUACAGCUACUCCUGGUGGACCAAACCCACUUCAUAACUGAGUGAAACAAAAAUAAGCAUCAUCAAGAAGCCUCUCUAGGGAAAAACCAGAUCCAGAAGGGUGCCUUGUAUGCAAUUUUUCUUUCAUAUAUAUGUCUAAUAGAAAACGCAUAUUUUACAUGUAUAACUUAAAGUUGCUUGGUGAAGAACUUGUAAUGUAUUUGUCAAUAACCUAUAAGUUGAUUAAUUAUCUCACUAGCAAUAAUGUUCUUAUCAAUAUUUGCCAAAUUAUUGCUUUUAGAUUUUAGGUAAGAGAUUAUCUUUCCACUCCAAACUCCCUGGUUUACCAUGUGGUAGAAAAAGUGAUUAAAAAAGUUAUGUCAACCAAGUGAAUGAAUGAUUAAAUAAAGUUCUAAUAUGUUUCUUCAAGA
RNAcentral lists this long non-coding RNA (636 nucleotides) under Vigna radiata. RNAcentral describes it as "long non-coding RNA (VRAD_LNC001364)". Lineage: Eukaryota; Viridiplantae; Streptophyta; Magnoliopsida; Fabales; Fabaceae. The record is from RNAcentral.